UACGUAUGGAGCAAGCGUUAUCCGGAUUUACUGGGUGUAAAGGGAGCGUAGACGGCUUUGCAAGCCAGAUGUGAAAGCCCGGGGCUCAACCCCGGGACUGCAUUUGGAACUGUGUGGCUAGAGUGUCGGAGAGGCAGGCGGAAUUCCUAGUGUAGCGGUGAAAUGCGUAGAUAUUAGGAGGAACACCAGUGGCGAAGGCGGCCUGCUGGACGAUGACUGACGUUGAGGCUCGAAAGCGUGGGGAGCAAACAGG
This 253-nucleotide ribosomal RNA is filed under the name uncultured bacterium. Its description in RNAcentral is "partial 16S ribosomal RNA". It matches the Rfam family "Bacterial small subunit ribosomal RNA", at positions 524 to 776 of the family's 1533-position model. The record is from RNAcentral.